UGCCCAGCAACUCCUAUCCCUACCUCCUCGUGGUACCGGCCGGAAACUAUAGGCAACCUUAGAGAAGAUCGGGUAACCAACCCAGGUGGGAAUUUUGGUCGUAGGCUGACAGGAAAGG
Non-coding RNA from Aedes albopictus (Asian tiger mosquito), 118 nucleotides. The record is from Rfam. Lineage: Eukaryota; Metazoa; Arthropoda; Insecta; Diptera; Culicidae.